Molecule: long non-coding RNA, 243 nt
Organism: Orbicella faveolata
Lineage: Eukaryota; Metazoa; Cnidaria; Anthozoa; Scleractinia; Merulinidae
Source: RefSeq, a predicted model, not a curated record
AUAUUAUUUUGGACUUUCAUCAGAAUGUUUUCUGCUUUGAGAGUCGCUAUUGUUUGGUGUUUGAGUUGCUACGUCCAAGACCUCUCCAUCAAUACUUUGAGAAAUGUCAGUUUGAAAGUGAGGAGGCAAAUUUGAAAGUGAUCAGAAAAAUAAUGUUACAACUUUUACAAGCCCUUGGAUUCCUAAAAAGGUGAAUUAUGGAGGCUUUGAACAUAGACAAUACUGACAACUGCUCAAGACGGC